AACGAACGCUGGCGGCAUGCCUAACACAUGCAAGUCGAACGAGACCUUCGGGUCUAGUGGCUCACGGGUGCGUAACGCGUGGGAACCUGCCCUUAGGUUCGGAAUAACUCCCCGAAAGGGGUGCUAAUACCGGAUAAUGUCUUCGGACCAAAGAUUUAUCGCCUUUGGAUGGGCCCGCGUUGGAUUAGCUAGUUGGUAGGGUAAAAGCCUACCAAGGCGACGAUCCAUAGCUGGUCUGAGAGGAUGAUCAGCCACACUGGGACUGAGACACGGCCCAGACUCCUACGGGAGGAAGCAGUGGGGAAUAUUGGACAAUGGGCGAAAGCCUGAUCCAGCAAUGCCGCGUGAGUGAUGAAGGCCUUAGGGUUGUAAAGCUCUUUUACCCGGGAUGAUAAUGACAGUACCGGGAGAAUAAGCUCCGGCUAACUCCGUG
This 433-nucleotide ribosomal RNA is filed under the name uncultured bacterium. RNAcentral describes it as "partial 16S ribosomal RNA". It matches the Rfam family "Bacterial small subunit ribosomal RNA", at positions 29 to 507 of the family's 1533-position model. The record is from RNAcentral.